This is an RNA transcript of Hylaeus volcanicus, 2902 nucleotides long. RefSeq lists it as uncharacterized. The transcript is spliced from 8 exons. The record is from RefSeq and is a predicted model, not a curated record. Lineage: Eukaryota; Metazoa; Arthropoda; Insecta; Hymenoptera; Colletidae.
AUGCAGUCGUUUUAUUAUCUUAAUCAUAGCGAUAUGCAACAAAGUCGCUGUUUAAAAACAAGUGCUACUUUAUGUGAAAAUUUUUCACCCUAUUUCCGCGUUUAUCGAUUUUUUCUUCUUUAUUUUUUAUUAUUUUUUUCAUAUUUAUUUAAAGAGAGUUUUUGCUUUCAGGGUUUAACACAUCUAACGUCUUCUAAUCUUAGUCAAUUUACCAAAGAACAUUCCAGUAUAUGUAUUCUAUUUUAUGCUCCAUGGUGCCCCUGGUCACAACGUGUUAUACCAUUAUUCUUACAGGCGCAAAAUUUAAUAAGUCUUCAAGAAGUGGACGUCCAAAUGGUAGCUGUCGAUAUAAGCAAGGAACACGAACUACAAGAGGCUUAUAAUGUAAUCCACGUUCCUUCGCUACUUCUUCUACAUGAUAACAAAACCGAUACGCUUGGUUUUAUACCCCAAAAAACAUCUGAAAUCGUUAAAUUUGUAUUAAAAUACGCCAAAUAUUUUUUUACUAUUAAAUCUAUCGAACAAUUUAAUUUUUUUCAAAAAAAUCAUGUAGAUGUUCCCAUUUUUUUUUUCUUUUCAAAAAUUUCUGAAUCAAAAGCCCGAAAAAAUUUUAUGGCCUGCUCUGAACAUUACGAAAAUUCCAAUUUUUUAUUGAUCGAUGAUGACCUUCUUGUAACGCUUAUACGAAAAAAAUAUAAUAAGACUUUUCCUACUAGUCUGGAAAACGUUGAAAUAAUAUUUGCACUACGUAGCUUUCCCAACUACACAAAGUUCAUUGAUGAUUCAAUAAUUGAUUUUAAUGGUGAUUUAUCCAAUUUUACUCAGAUUUUAGAUUUUGUUCAAGAAAAUAAGGAGACUACUAUACAUCAUCUCAAAAAUAUUAAUUCCUUGAAUUUUCUUCAAAGCAAACCUUAUAUUUAUAUAUUGUUUUCAAGAGAAAUUAAUUCCAUUAAUGAUACCGAUUAUAUUUAUAAUACAACAUACUUUACAGCUAAAAAAAUGACAUCCAAAUUUAAUUUCAUUUAUUGUGAAACAUCUUCGCCCAUGUACCUACGCCUCACAGAAUUUUUAGAUGUUCAAGAGUCAGAUCCAUUAGAUUCUGUUCGUAUUGCUAAACUUGAAUCAAGUCCUUUCUCUCGUACACGGAUUCAAUAUCAGUUUCGACUCCCCGAGAUUAUAAAAAAAAACUAUACUCAACAACUCCUUAUUGAUUUUCUUACUAAUAUAACAGAAGAUCGAGUUAAGCCUUAUAUAAAGUCAGAGCCUAUCCCUAACCCUAGCGACAAUGAAGGUCCCGUUUUUGUUCUUGUCGCUAGUGAGUAUGAAAGAUUAGUAGAGAAUGCAACGGUUGAUAUCCUUUUACAAAUAUACGCUCCAUGGUGUGGACAUUGUCGCCAAUUCGACAAAACUUUCAAAUUAUUGGCUCACUUAUUUCAACCAUUACAAAAAAAUAUUAAAUUUAUGAAAUUGGAUGGAACAUUGAAUGAAGUGCCUUUUCUGAUUUUUGGAUACCCUACUAUUGUUUUGAUUCCUGCUGAUACAAACACAGCAGGAAAGAAUGAAGCUACUAACAAAAAAAUUUAUCUAUAUCAAGGAACAAGAUCGGCACGAAAUCUUGCUGAAUGGAUUAAAACUCAUAGUUCACAACCCAUUAAUAUUUCAAGUCUUUGGAACACAUAUGAGAAGAGUUUUUCGAAAGAUGUGUCUUUACCGAAUCCUACAAUACUUGAUGAAUUAUGAUAUGAAAUGAAUAAACACUGUCCUAAUAAGUAAAACCGUUUUUUUUACUUAAACGCAGUACUCAAUGGUCUUCCAGUCUUAAAAAGUUGACUAAGUUUAAAUUUAAAAAAUUCAUAAAAUAUUUUGUUUAAUGAUACAUAUUCUUUAAAAUAUUUAUAACAACUUUUUCUUAUUAAAAAAGGAAAUGAAAUUGAAAAAAAAAUGUACUCAAUUUUUUGUACAGGUUUCCCGAAUCUAUUCUAGUCACUCUAUGUGAGUACGAGAUGGAGUUUGAGAGAAAAACUAGAAGGAUUGUCACAAACCAUUAUAAAAAAAUAUUCAACUCAGUCGACUUAGCGGUCGACAUUUCCCCGUUUCUCAUAGUUCGAGCCAGUAGGAUGAACACUUAAUACUCCCUGGUGUCUCAUGGAUCGAGCCAAUAGGAUGAGCUAUCAAUGCUUCAUGGUUUUGAACAAUUUUCACAGACUAAGUGAGACAAUUUCUUGAAUUACAAAGGACAGAAUCAUAAAAUAAUUUUAGUUAGACACAGUGACCAAGGUGUGUAAUAUUGUGACGCAUAUCUGAUGUCACAGCCUGCACCAAUAAAAAAAUCAAAGGGGUUUUUCUUUUUUAGAAGCUUUGAAUUCUUAAUUAAAAUGUCUUUCCCCUGAGUGAUUCUUUAAUAAAUUUUCAAGGUUUCUCAUGAGUGAGGAUGGAAACGAAAGUGUCAAUACUUUAGAACCGUCUGAUUCUACAUUGAAUGGGAAUUUUGACAAGAAUCGUGUAACAAUUACCGAAGCUCGAAGCUUUAUUAAAUGUACUUUUGGACUCAAUUUAGAAGUUAUUCCGGAUGUAUGCUUAGAUAUGAUUCAAAUGCGAAGGCACCUGAUGCAUCAGUUGGAAGAGAAAAAUAAGCUGGUAGCUUCUUUGAAGUCAAAGUGUCAACAAUGUAUCAAGUCUUAUCAAAUGGACAUGGCUAACGUCGAACCUAAACCUCAAUCUACGACAUCUAAAAAAAUUAUCAAGGCAUCCAAAGAUGAUUUGUGUAUGUCUUGUAUCAUUCUACAACUGGUCUUUAUAUGAUGAUCGUUUAACUUCAUAGUUCUAAGUACACCCGAAGCAAAAAAAAAAAAAAAGUCUGUUCUAUCAUCAACUUCGUCCGCAACCUUUGAGUUGAAGAAAG